This 82-nucleotide non-coding RNA is filed under the name uncultured Cohnella sp. RNAcentral describes it as "Cyclic di-GMP-I riboswitch". It matches the Rfam family "c-di-GMP-I riboswitch aptamer". Rfam says of the family: GEMM was predicted in a large-scale screen for bacterial structured RNA regulatory elements. Genes associated with GEMM are involved in a diverse array of functions, including chemotaxis regulation, signal transduction, secretion and chitin. The record is from RNAcentral. Lineage: Bacteria; Bacillati; Bacillota; Bacilli; Caryophanales; Paenibacillaceae.
CCGAUAAUGGCAUACCUGUCGAAAGGCAGGGACGCAAAGCCAUAGGGCCUUCCUCCAAGCGAGAUGGCAGCCUGGCCGCCGA